This 203-nucleotide long non-coding RNA is filed under the name Elaeis guineensis (African oil palm). RNAcentral's name for it is "long non-coding RNA (EGUI_LNC038491)". The record is from RNAcentral. Lineage: Eukaryota; Viridiplantae; Streptophyta; Magnoliopsida; Arecales; Arecaceae.
CAAUGGUACUCGACGUCUGCAUAGGUCGAAUAGUCGCAAUCGCAACAUUCAGAACCUACGCGAAUAUGGUUACUGUAUAAUUCAUCCCUUUUGACCCCUGUGUAUAGGACGACUCAGGGUUAAACUAUCAACCUUGAUCAGAUCUUUCGAAUCAUGCUCAACUCAAACAGUCCUGUGACUUUUCACUAGGACUACCCUGGCCA